UAGGGAAUCUUCCACAAUGGACGCAAGUCUGAUGGAGCAACGCCGCGUGAGUGGAGAAGGUUUUCGGACCGUAAAGCUCUGUUGUUGGUGAAGAAGGAUAGAGGUAGUAACUGGCCUUUAUUUGACGGUAAUCAACCAGAAAGUCACGGCUAACUACGUGCCAGCAGCCGCGGUAAUACGUAGGUGGCAAGCGUUGUCCGGAUUUAUUGGGCGUAAAGCGAGCGCAGGCGGAAGAAUAAGUCUGAUGUGAAAGCCCUCGGCUUAACCGAGGAAUUGCAUCGGAAACUGUUUUUCUUGAGUGCAGAAGAGGAGAGUAGAACUCCAUGUGUAGCGGUGGAAUGCGUAGAUAUAUGGAAGAAUACCAGUGGCGAAGGCGGCUCUCUGGUCUGCAACUGACGCUGAGGCUCGAAAGCAUGGGUAGCGAACAGGAUUAGAUACCCUGGUAGUCCAUGCCGUAAACGAUGAGUGCUAAGUGUUGGGAGGCUUCCGCCUCUCAGUGCUGCAGCUAACGCAUUAAGCACUCCGCCUGGGGGAGUACGACCGCAAGGUUGAAAC
RNAcentral lists this ribosomal RNA (555 nucleotides) under uncultured bacterium. RNAcentral's name for it is "partial 16S ribosomal RNA". It matches the Rfam family "Bacterial small subunit ribosomal RNA", at positions 355 to 900 of the family's 1533-position model. The record is from RNAcentral.